Camellia sinensis is the source of this 463-nucleotide non-coding RNA. NCBI's taxonomy places the organism in Eukaryota, Viridiplantae, Streptophyta, Magnoliopsida, Ericales, Theaceae. The record is from RefSeq and is a predicted model, not a curated record.
UUUACCAUUUUUUUUUUUUUCUCGCGUUUCUUUUAUGUUGCUUCAGAACUCAAAGAGAACCCUAGUGUUGCUUUAGAACUCAAACGGAUUGAGAGUAGAGGCCAAACGACGAGGAGAGGAGAGGAGAGGCAGCGGUGAGGCGAGGGGAAACGACGACGAAACGACGGCGACGAGGUCCGUUCGUCUUCAGGAUCAUUUUUCUCAGGAUCAUGUCAAUGUCAAUGGGUUCAAACAUUGAUACUGGAUAUUUGAAAAAUCAGAGAUGCAAUUGUGGAAAAAAAGCUGCAGUGUUCAUAUCAGAAUCAGAGAAAAAUCCAGGGAGGCUGUAUUUCAAGUGUGCAACUAGGAUGUACGAGUACUUUGGAUGGGGACCGGCUUCGACUGGGAAUGCAUCAGAUAUCCAAAGGAAAAGUAAAGCUACUUAUCUGAAGAAUGAAGAUGAGAGAGGCUAUGAUUAUGAUGU